Molecule: non-coding RNA, 74 nt
Organism: Camelus ferus (Wild Bactrian camel)
Lineage: Eukaryota; Metazoa; Chordata; Mammalia; Artiodactyla; Camelidae
Source: Rfam
GGAAGGGUACAGCUCAGUGGUAGAGCACAUGCUUAGCACGCACAAGGUCCUGGGUUCUAUCCCCAGUACCUCCA